AAAAAUUGUUCCAAAUACCCUGUCAACUGUCCAGCUCAGAAGAAUUAAUUCCCUCUACAGCAGCAGUGACUGUUUUAAGAGCUGUCCAUACAGGGGCAUUCAGGAACACCACAAAGUGUUCCCUUCAAUACUUUAAACCUAAAGAACAGGCUAUCCAGCACAGCCUCAACUUCUGACCUGAACAGAGAAGCAUAGAAUAUGAACUUAAUUUCAAAUCAGCAUUGUGUGUGAAAAUUAACAAGUUACUUUUAGCAAUUAAUGUCUAUAGAGUUCUUAAUUUUGAUUUGUGUACGUACACGAUUUAAAUUCCUAGAUUUGAAUUACAUCUGAAAAUUCCUUCCAAAUACUGCUUGCUCACUCAGAAGUCAAUCCUGGAUAUUGUAUUACUGAACAGACCUGGACAGAAUUUUACUCAUCUGGAACCCUUUCUAACCUUUUUUGAAUUUUCAUGUCAAAAAGAUAAUUGAAACAUAACAUUUGAACAGAACCCUGUUUCCUUUCAGUUGCUCUUUCCAGUUCAUGUCCCAAAUGGGACAGCAGUUUGUAAAGAACUUCUCUCAUGCACAUCCUUUUCUUUGACUAUACAUGUUAGGCAUAAUGCCAAUUAUAAAGAUGCAUGCAUUCUCAAGAGAGGACAUAAGUUACAUAAAUUGACUUGUAUGUAUAAAAAGGAAGAGAUGGAUUAUAAAGCUCACAAAAAUGUAUCUUUACCUCAAAAUCAAUUAUCUGACUACUUUACCACAGAAAUUUGCUGGAACAGCCAGCUGCCACAGCAUUAUUUAUUUUUAUUGGGGUAACUAAUGAUUAGACAUAUAUAUAUGUAAGUCCCACUGCUUGACAAAGUUUGAGAAAUACAGACAAUAAAGGAACAUGGCGUGCAACAGAAACUUAAAAGUUGGCAAUUAAAAUUAGAAUGCUUUCACCCACUUUGUAUUAACGGAAGUACCUCCCUUCUAACGUCUGUACUAUAAUGAAUCUCAGCCAUUUAUAGGUGAAUGCAGACCCAAAACACAAGAAUGAUAAGUGUUUAACAAGCUCUGUCCUAACUGCUACAUACAGAUUAAGAAAAAUUAACACCACUCAGAUUUUCUCAUUUACUUGUUUGGGUUUGAGAACCCAUGAUAUAACCAACAACUUUAUAUGAAGGUUUACAAAUUAGUGCUCCCUCUGCUGGGAAUGGAACAAAUUGAUUGUAAGAGAAAUUUUAACCCCCUUGGUCCCUUCGCACUUUGUGACAGAAACUGAUUUGAAAAGAAAGCUAUAGAUGCACACACUACAUUUUAGAAUCCAAAGAACAAACACCACCAAAUUGUUUUAAAUGCUACAAGCCAUUUCAGCUUAAAUUUCUUUAAUUACUUUUUUUACUUUAAAAGGGAUGCUCUUUAUUACACCUAAAAUUUCUUACAACUUACUUUUGCAACAACUAAGAUUCCUAUAACUAGAAGAUUAGAAGUUUGUUUGCACUCUUUGUGCACUUGACUGCAUGUUGCAUAUAGCUGCUUUCACAAUUUCCCCUAUAUGAAAGGAAGUUGGUGAAUUCAUAUCCCCAAUCUGUGUGGCUCUUUUACUUUACAACAGGACACAGAAAUAACAUCUUUUAAAAUAAACAGUAAAAUGUAAUUGUAAAACCACAGGAACUGGCAGGUGGUGCAUGGAGAGAAGCAGUACUUGAAACUACAUUGUCUUUUUUUUUUUAAAUGAUUAAGUUUUAAGUUGUUGGAGUCCUUUUAUUACAAAUUAGCUAUAACAAUCUACUAUAGAAUUCUUGCUUGUAUUUUCUUUUUAGCAGAAAGAAAACUGUUAAUGGUGACUUAAUUACAGUGAAAUGUUAAAAAAAAUUGUACAGUAGUAGUUUAGCCCCAAAAUUAAUAUAUUAAAGCUAUAAACUGGUCAUUUCUUUGAGAAUAUUUCUGUUCAUGUUAGUAUGCUAGCUAAGGUUAAAAUAUCUGGAUCUAUUACCAGACCUGAACUCCACAAGGUUAACUGCACCAGUGUCUAAACUAUCUUUAGUGGUCAAGUCUUAAAUGAAAAAUAAAAUCCUACAGAGAACUUGCCCUUUACCCCUUUUUAGUCUGUACCUCAGUCAGAUACAUUUUAAGGUUUUAUUUUGAUUAUAAUCUUUUAUUGCUACAAACUGAACUUUCCAGACAUGGUUGUUUUCUAACAGCUUUCAAAAGCUGUGCUGUUUUAGUAGACAGGUGCAGCUAACUAUCUUUGUACAACAGAGAAUUCAAGUUUUAGUAAGGUUUUGAAACACCAAUAUUUGCAAGCAGUUUAGAGUUUCUCCAACAUGCUUCAGAAUAAAUACAUUCUUUUUUAUACUGCUUCCAGCUUAUUAUAUAGUGAGAUGAAACACAAGACACUAGGCUUUGAUCUUAGCUCCAGGGAGCAGAGAUGAAGUAGGCCUUUUUUGUAACAAAAUAAAAAACCCCGAAACUAUCAGAAUACAGCCAGUGCUUUCUGAAGGGUCUGCUGACAUUUAUAUUCAGAUCCUCAUAUGCAGACACUGCACAUGGCUUAUGGAACAUAUAAUAAACUGCAAUGUACAGAAUUACUGACUAAAACGAUUGAAACCAAAAUAAAAAGAAAAUACAAAAGAAACAAAAAUCACUUAACACUUUUAUAAGCCUGGCUCUGUUAUGAUAUAAAGAGCUAUCUGGUACUUUAUAUAUAAAUAUUUUUAAAUUUGCCUAUAAUACUGGUGUUGAUAUUACAUCCACAAAAAUUAUGAAAAACUUCUAAAAAUUCUACCCCUUCCUGGAGGGUAAUAACAUGUCUGUAUAAUCAAUCAGCUUUAUCACCUAGAACAGAUAUUUUAGUACUACAGAAGUCAGCCUACAAUCUAUUACCAAAAUUUAAACAUUUUAAAUAUGUACAGCUUCACAGCUAUAAAACUUUUGCAAAGUAUUAUAAAAUAGGUAUCCCACCUUCUCUCUAUAAAAUACUGGAUAAGAACUAUUUUAGUUCAACUACCAGUUUACCCCAGCAGAAAAGGCACUUAAUAGGGCAGGCAUAUUUAUAGACUAUUUAUUGCACUGCUUUCAAUAACUAAGGACUCCAGAAUACUUUCAAAAAGGGGUGGGGGAUUGGUUGUCUUUCCCUAAACAACACACACAAAAAGGAAAGAAAGCUAUUUAAUUCAACAGAUUAUUAAAUCAAUUAAGGGAACAUCCCCCUAAAUAAACUAACAGAGAUAAGCAACUGCUACUUUACAACCCCGCAGCUCCAGCAAUUGGGUUUAAGAGCAGCAGAAUAUUGAAGAGGGGACUCUAGCUAACAGCUAAGCAGAAAAAGCGGGGACUGAGUGACAAAGAGAUCGUGUCUGUCUCUCUUUCAGUCUCUGCCUCUGGUGCAUGCACCUCCCAGCAGCUCUCUCCCUAUUUAAAGGCUGAUGUGGUGUUUAAAUGGAGAGGCGGUGACGUGGGGCUGGAAAGCACCUUCCCAUCCUGGCAGAGUCUAUAUUAGAGAGCGGCAAUGGCUCUAUAUAAACAGGGCAGCCACAGGGAGGAGGAACACAAGGAGCAGGGAGACAGAAAGGCAGGGGAAGCCAUGAUGGAUCUCACAGACACACAAACAAGGGGCCCAAGCCUGCACCGUAACCGCCCGGACUCGGGGUUUGUCGGCAGCUUUUUGGGGCUGCUGCCAUUGUGGCCUGGGGGGGUCUCUCCCUCCACACCCAUGGAACAUCUGAGCCAGAUAAGGAGGAGAAAAGAGGACUCAGGAUGACAUGUUGCAGGAGAUUCUGCCAGUGUUGCAUCAGAGAGUGACACCAGGGCCUGGAGGAUGACCCUUACAGACAACAUGCAGAAAGCAAAAGUGGAGAGAAAAAUUGCCCUGGAGUUCAAGCAGGAAAGGAGAGGGAGAUGCACUAGUACAUAAUGGGGCUUCUCAGGCAGCAAACAGAGAUGCUGUGGACUCUGGUAGACCUGUGCGCAAGAGUCUUGUGCUGGCCUCCCUCUGCAGCCUAUAGACAACUCAAUGUCUGGACCUCCCUACACCUCCCCUCAACAUUCCAUGUGGCAUCAAGGACCACUGCACUACCCCCACCACUCCACCGUGGGGAACAUUAAACACAAUCACAACUGCACAUACAUUGACCUGUGAAAGACGUGGUUGGUAUAUGUGUACCUGAAAUGGAAAUGAUUGUUCUUUUCCCUUCAUAAUUUCUGUUCCCUUAAUUUAUUAUGGUUUAUAAAGUGCUAAAUGGUGGUUUUAUUUUCCUGGCUCAUGUUACAGAAUACAAUUCUAUUUUUUGGAAUAUAAUUGAGCUUUGUUAGUUCACAACAUAUGCUGACUAGUGCUAAGCAGGGCUGACAUCCACCAAUUUCCUGUUAGUUUAUUUUGUCACAGAACCCAUAACAUCAAUCUCAGACAGUAUUAACAGGUGCAUUGUCAAUGUUAUAUUCCUACAUGUAGCACUCAUUGCAAGAUUCAUACUACGCUGCAAAAGAGCAAGGCUGGGUAGAGCACACUACAGCAACACACAUACUCUGGCUCACUAUUAAAAUGUUCUUUCAAAGCCUUCCUGAGCUAUACAGCUCCACAUUGAGCUCUUCUAAUAAGUCUUUUGUCUGGCUGUUGAAAUUCAGCAGACAGCCGCUUCACCUCCGCCCUCCAUUCCAACAAAACUUUCCCCCCUUGGCUUCACAGAACACAGCAGGCAGAUAUAACCAUUGGGAUAUUUUUCUGACUGAUGUCAAAUCUUGUGAGUAAACAAUGCCAGCGACCUUUCAAAUGACCAAAAGCACAUUCGACUGUCAUGCUGCACCUGCUGAGCUGGUAGUUGAAUUGUUCCUUGGUGCUGUUGAGGUGGCCAGUGUACAUCUUUAUGAGCCAUGGGAACCCAGGGUAUGCUGGGGCAAAAGAAAGUCCCUGCUUGCAGCUUUCUGAACAGUCCUGGGUUCUUAAAGAUGUGCACAUCAUGCACCUCCCCUGACCAGUCCACACUGAUGUCAGUAAUGAAUUCAUGGUGAUCCACCAGCACUUGUAUUACCAUGAAAAAGUAGCCCUUUCUGUUGAUGUACUCUGGCAAGGAGGUCUGGUGCUAAAAUAGGGAUAUGUGUACCAUCUAGCACCUAGUUUGGGACCCCAAUUGCUGAAAAACCAUCCACUAUGCCCUGCACUUUGCUCAGAGUCACAGUCCUGCAUAGCAGCAGUCGAUUAAUGGCCCUGCACACUUCCAUGACAACCAUCCCGGUGGUGGAUUUCCUGACUCCAAAUUGGUUCUCGACUGACAAGUAACAAUCCAAGUUUCCACAGUGCAAUCGCCACUUGCUUUUCAGCUGGCAGUGUGGCUCUCAUUUUGGUGACCCUAUGCUGGAGGGUUGAGGCAAGUUUGGCAUGCAGUUCCAGGAAUAUGACCUUGUGCAUUCAAAAGUUCUGCAGCCACUGCUUGUCAUCCCAAACCUGAAUUACAUUGUGAUCUCACCAGUCGGUGCUUGUCUCUUGGGCCCAGAACUGGCACGCCACUGUCUGCAGCUGCUCCGUGAAUGCUGCCAACAACAUGGAAUUGUUUCUUUCUAUGGCCCACAGAAGUCUAGCCUCCAAGAAAAUGUUAUGUCCCCCCUCUUGCUGCAGCUCUGCAAUACUGCAGGAACAGACCCCUGAGCUUGAAAUGCUCAUGACAAUAGUACAGAGCUGUGCAGGCUCCAUGCUUCUGUCAGAGAGGGUAGACAGCAAGGAAGGACAUGCAGGUUUAUGGGGAUUUUGAAAAGAGCCAUCAAAUAUUAUGCGGUGCAGAUGAAAUUAUGGGAUGGAGAACACUGCAUUGUGGGAAGUGGAACCCAUGCUCCCAGUCACCCCUGUAUGACUCAUUUGAGCCGCAGAAGGCAUUGUGUAAACUUCCCACAACACCCUGUGCUGGAUGGUGGUGAGUUGCACAGAGGGAUACUUACCCAUGGUGCACUGCAUUCUGCAUCGAUACAAGCGCUCCUGCUGCUGAUGCGCACCGGUAACAUAAGAAGUGUAGUGUGCACUUGCACAAGCAGUAUAAUAACUGUGGUGGCUGUAUGUCAAUGUUAUUUAGGUCGACAUAAUUUGGGUAGUGUAGACAUGACAUAAGUCUCCCUCUUAAGUUAUUGUCAACUUCUAUUUCCCUUUUUUAAAAAAACUUUAUUUUCAGCUCUUUUACUCUCAUUUGCCGUCCUGCAAAAGUGAAGAAAUGACAAUAAAUCCAGAGGGUUUAUAUAAACUCAGAGAAAUUAAUACUAAACCACAGGAUCAGCUUACAAUGUUUAAAAAGCAUCAUCUUUCCAUCAUAUAGUGAAGUUACCUAAUGAAGUCUGUGUAAUGUUUUGAGGAACGUGAUAUAUUCCCUUAACCCUGGAAACCACUGUUAGAUGCAUUAAGAAUAGCUAACAUA
Chelonoidis abingdonii (Abingdon island giant tortoise) is the source of this 6361-nucleotide long non-coding RNA. RefSeq lists it as uncharacterized. NCBI's taxonomy places the organism in Eukaryota, Metazoa, Chordata, Testudines, Testudinidae. The record is from RefSeq and is a predicted model, not a curated record.